RNAcentral lists this ribosomal RNA (253 nucleotides) under uncultured bacterium. RNAcentral describes it as "partial 16S ribosomal RNA". It matches the Rfam family "Bacterial small subunit ribosomal RNA", at positions 524 to 776 of the family's 1533-position model. The record is from RNAcentral.
UACGUAGGGGGCUAGCGUUGUCCGGAUUUAUUGGGCGUAAAGAGCGUGUAGGCGGCCAUACAGGUCAGCUGUGAAAACUCGAGGCUCAACCUCGAGACGUCGGUUGAAACCGUAUGGCUAGAGUCCGGAAGAGGAGAGUGGAAUUCCCGGUGUAGCGGUGAAAUGCGCAGAUAUCGGGAAGAACACCCGUGGCGAAGGCGGCUCUCUGGGACGGUACUGACGCUGAGACGCGAAAGCGUGGGGAGCGAACCGG